Molecule: ribosomal RNA, 562 nt
Filed under: uncultured Leptotrichia sp.
Lineage: Bacteria; Fusobacteriati; Fusobacteriota; Fusobacteriia; Fusobacteriales; Leptotrichiaceae
Description: bacterial SSU rRNA
Rfam family: Bacterial small subunit ribosomal RNA
Source: RNAcentral
CCUACGGGAGGCAGCAGUGGGGAAUAUUGGACAAUGGGGGCAACCCUGAUCCAGCAAUUCUGUGUGCACGAGGAAGGUUUUCGGAUUGUAAAGUGCUUUCAGCAGGGAAGAAGGAAGUGACGGUACCUGCAGAAGAAGCGACGGCUAAAUACGUGCCAGCAGUCGCGGUAAUACGUAUGUCGCAAGCGUUAUCCGGAAUUAUUGGGCAUAAAGGGCAUCUAGGCGGCCAGGCAAGUCUGGGGUGAAAACUUGCGGCUCAACCGCAAGCCUGCCCUGGAAACUGCCUGGCUAGAGUGCUGGAGAGGUGGACGGAACUGCACGAGUAGAGGUGAAAUUCGUAGAUAUGUGCAGGAAUGCCGAUGAUGAAGAUAGUUCACUGGACGGCAACUGACGCUGAAGUGCGAAAGCUGGGGGAGCGAACAGGAUUAGAUACCCUGGUAGUCCCAGCCGUAAACGAUGAUUACUGGGUGUGGGCAUGAAGAGUGUCCGUGCCGAAGCAAAUGCGAUAAGUAAUCCGCCUGGGGAGUACGGCCGCAAGGCUGAAACUCAAAGGAAUUGACGG